RNAcentral lists this ribosomal RNA (663 nucleotides) under uncultured archaeon. RNAcentral describes it as "bacterial SSU rRNA". It matches the Rfam family "Archaeal small subunit ribosomal RNA", at positions 93 to 754 of the family's 1478-position model. The record is from RNAcentral.
GUGAGAACACGUAGCCAACCUACCCUAUGGACGGGGAUAACCUCGGGAAACUGAGGAUAAACCCCGAUAGAUCAUUUUACCUGGAACGGUUUACGGUCCAAAUGAUUCGUCGCCGUAGGAUGGGACUGCGGCCUAUCAGCUUGUUGGUGAGGUAAUGGCCCACCAAGGCUAUUACAGGUACGGGCUCUGAGAGGAGAAGCCCGGAGAUGGGUACUGAGACACGGACCCAGGUCCUAUGGGGCGCAGCAGGCGAGAAAACUUUGCAAUGUGCGCAAGCACGACAAGGUUAAUCCGAGUGAUUCCUGCUAAAGGAAUCUUUUGUUAGUUGUAAAACCACUGAUGAAUAAGGGGUGGGCAAGUUCUGGUGUCAGCCGCCGCGGUAAAACCAGCACCUCAAGUGGUCAGGAGGAUUAUUGGGCCUAAAGCAUCCGUAGCCUGCUUUGUAAGUUUUCGGUUAAAUCCAUCAGCUCAACUGAUGGGCCGCCGAAAAAACUGCAAAGCUAGGGAGUGGGAGAGGUAGACGGUACUCGAUAGGAAGGGGUAAAAUCCUUUGAUCUAUUGAUGACCACCUGUGGCGAAGGCGGUCUACCAGAACACGUUCGACGGCGAGGGAUGAAAGCUGGGGGAGCAAACCGGAUUAGAUACCCGGGUAGUCCCAGCUGU